Oenanthe melanoleuca is the source of this 922-nucleotide long non-coding RNA. RefSeq lists it as uncharacterized. The transcript is spliced from 4 exons. Lineage: Eukaryota; Metazoa; Chordata; Aves; Passeriformes; Muscicapidae. The record is from RefSeq and is a predicted model, not a curated record.
CUUAAUGUUGAAGUCAUUGUUGCUGUGGUUUUCCCAGCUCUCAGUGAUUCACAGCAUAGAGAGCAGCUAUCUGCAGCUGCGUGAGAGGACAUGAGCUGACUGCGCCUCCUAAAUGAUGCAUUUAACCCAGCUCCCAGAAAAUGCUGGCAGACAGAACGUGGGUUUACUACUUUGAUACUUAUGGGGAAAGACUGGGGAAGGAGGAGGAGGAUGUCCAACUGUUCGGAAGGGGAAUAUUUAAGGAAGAUGCAGAAGAAGAAGCAGUCGGCAACUGGUACGCCUAACCUACAAAUGUCAGCUUUACAGAAAUCCCCAAAGUGUAACCCUUCAAUCCUUCAAUAGUGCUGCUGGAUAAAUCUACAGGAAUGUAUCCCAUGCCUCUGUCAAGCAGGAUCCCCUCUGAUCAAAGCAAGUCAGCUCUCCCUUAUCCAGACUUUCCUGGUGAAAACACACACCAGCCUGCCUUAACCCAGAAGGAUAAGAACACCUCACUUUCCUGUGAAAACAUGAGAGGAAAGAGUUGGACUGUUCUCUUCAAAAGGGAAUUUGUCAUGACAUCCCUGCAUCUACAGCCAAAAUGUCCACUGACCACGAGGACCCUACUUUCACCUUCAUCCAUGGAAGAAUUUAAUUAAUCUUUCUAUAUUGGCAGGCGAACAACAUUUCCUGAAGAGAAAAAUAACUGUUAAUUUCCAGAGGUAAUUAACAGUCACUGAAUGAGACUAAAGGGCUUUCAUCAAAAUUACCAAUCAGCUCAAAUUUGAAGAGAUUCUCUCCUCCUCAUUGCAUCUUCAUCUCAUCCAGCCAGUCCUGCUGAAUUAGUGCCUAAUAGAGUCUCAGACAUAUUCAUAUCCUGUCAAAUUCCCAUCCUCCCAAGGAACUGUCCCUUUCAAAUGGUAAUACAGAGGGCGUAUGAUGUGCA